Molecule: small nuclear RNA, 77 nt
Filed under: Pongo abelii (Sumatran orangutan)
Lineage: Eukaryota; Metazoa; Chordata; Mammalia; Primates; Hominidae
Description: U4 spliceosomal RNA
Rfam family: U4 spliceosomal RNA
About the family: U4 small nuclear RNA (U4 snRNA) is a component of the major U2-dependent spliceosome. The structure of U4 snRNA from yeast and human has been reported.
Source: Rfam by way of RNAcentral
AGCUUUGCACAGUGGCAGUAUUGUAGCCAAUGAGGUUUAUCCAAGGCAUGAUUAUUGUUAAUUGAAAUUCAAAAAAA